UACAGAGGGUGCAAGCGUUGUUCGGAAUUAUUGGGCGUAAAGCGCGUGUAGGCGACUUUGCAAGUCGGGUGUGAAAGCCCUCAGCUCAACUGAGGAAGUGCGCCCGAAACUGCAGAGCUUGAGUGCCGGAGAGGGUGGCGGAAUUCCCCAAGUAGAGGUGAAAUUCGUAGAUAUGGGGAGGAACACCGGUGGCGAAGGCGGCCACCUGGACGGGUAACUGACGCUGAGACGCGAAAGCGUGGGGAGCGAACAGG
This 254-nucleotide ribosomal RNA is filed under the name uncultured bacterium. RNAcentral describes it as "partial 16S ribosomal RNA". It matches the Rfam family "Bacterial small subunit ribosomal RNA", at positions 524 to 776 of the family's 1533-position model. The record is from RNAcentral.